CACUUAGAUGUCCGGGGCUGCACGCGCGCUACACUGAAGGAAUCAGCGUGCUAAAACCAUUGUCGAAAGGCAUUGGUAAACCCAUUAAAAUCCUACGUGAUUGGGAUCGGGAAUUGCAAUUAUUUCCCUUGAACGAGGAAUUCCCAGUAAGUGUGGGUCAUAAGCUCGCGUUGAUUACGUCCCUGCCCUUUGUACACACCGCCCGUCGCUGCCCGGGACUGAGCCGUUUCGAGAAAAGCGGGGACUGCUGCUGUCGGGGCUUUCGGGCCUUGGCUUCGGUGGAAACCGCUUUAAUCGCAGUGGCUUGAACCGGGCAAAAGUCGUANCA
This 328-nucleotide ribosomal RNA is filed under the name uncultured eukaryote. RNAcentral's name for it is "partial 18S ribosomal RNA". It matches the Rfam family "Eukaryotic small subunit ribosomal RNA", at positions 1470 to 1796 of the family's 1831-position model. The record is from RNAcentral.